Molecule: long non-coding RNA, 7193 nt
Filed under: Sus scrofa (pig)
Lineage: Eukaryota; Metazoa; Chordata; Mammalia; Artiodactyla; Suidae
Description: lncRNA (ENSSSCG00005040637.1)
Source: RNAcentral
CACUGAGAGGUCCCUGGAACUUCCAAAGGGGGACCUGGGACAGAGCUCACCACUGCACGGCUUGCUCAUGUGUGUGGGAGCAGGCUGCUCUGAUGACUGUCCCACCCCAGGGCCCAUGGGCAUCCCAAAUGGGGGAGCCAGCUCCCUCACCUGAGUCUGGGUACCCCUCUCAGUAAGAAAAUGACAACUUUAGGGGGUGAUGGUGGGAACCCCCUUGGCUGUUAGCUCACUGAGCAGAGUCCCUGUCAGCACUGCGUGUUGCUGACCUCAGGCUGGGGGCCCCCCAAAGCCCAUGGCCUGGCAGCACCUGCUGCCUCUGAGGUUCCCCUGGCCCUGGGAAGUGCCACAUGGGGGUCAGGCCUGCAUAAACAACACAGCACGGAAUCCAGAUGAGCAAUUUGGUGCCUCAGGAAAGACACAAGCCUGACUGAGCUCAGAUUCCCAUGGUGAGGGGGAAGCUGCUGAGUGCCGUGUGGGGCUGGCCACCUCCUUCCCUUCCUGUCACAGGAAGGGGCCGCAGGCACGGCUCCUCAGGACAGGGCCCGGCUUCUGUCAACGUGUCACCUGCCUCUCCUCACCCCAAGUGAGAGGAGCCUGAUGGGAGGAGAGGCGGGCCCUGCUCUGAGAGACCUGGACUUUCUGGGGGAGCACCUGAAGGAGUAGACUGUCUUCACUGGCUCUGGCCGGCACUCCCCUCCUGGCACAGGAGCACGGUGCCCAUCCCGGGUACCUGCAGGGAAAACCCAAGUGCUGAGCUGGCAGUGCAGGCUGGGCAGCCCCUCUCCAAAUGCAGGGAGGAAAUGCUGGCCUAAGGCAUUCUCCCUGGGCAACAUGUCCACAGAGCAGCUGUGAACUCACAGCCGAUAUUUUUGUUGAUGUACUCACUGCUUCCCAGAAUACCUGGGUUAAGAGCAGCCCCAGAACGUCAGUAACCAGGUACUAUGUGCCUACAGGCAGGCCAGUUCCUGCCCUUCUCCCAGAGCCCCUGCACCGUGGGACACCCAGGGCAGGCAGAGCUUAAAGCUGACACAGUCCUUGGCAGAACCAGAAUGCAAGCCCUGGGGAGGGCACAGGCCCUAUCAAUCAUCCCAACUGGAUGGGGAGGAGGGUGACGGCCCGAGGCCACUUGCGCACAGGAACCCUGUCAUCCUCCAGCAGGGGACACAUAGCCUCCUAUAGGCUGGUGCCCAGCUGGCUUCACAACUCACGGCUGGCCCUGCACACCUCCAGCAAAGUGGGGAGGCCCUCCUUGGCUGACCUGUGAGCUGAGUUCUUACAGACAGGGGGAAGAAAAUUCAGGUAUAGGGGGUAGUGCUCCCAAAGGGUUAGGAACAGCAUGAAAAUCCCCAAGGAGGAGAAGAAGCCCUGGAAAUGUCUUAUAGCCAGGUGUGGCUGUGUGACUAACCUGGCUAUCAGGAUGUCCUUAGAGACACCUCCCCUCUGUUCUCCUCCUGCUGACUGGAACAUGGGUGUGACUGCAGAGUGUCAGCAGUCAUCCUGGACCAUGAGGGAGAAGCCUUGCUUUCUGGGCAUGGUAGGGCAAGAAAAAGAGCCUGGGUUCCUGGUACUUCCUGCACCUACACUUCCUGCCUGGCCUGCCUACUCUAUUGCCACCAUAUCUUGGUCUCUGAAUUUAAUUUAUCUACCAGGACCUGUGCAUGAAGGACCCAGGCAUGAACAGAGGUGAGGCCAGGUGUAUCAGGGGAUCAGUAAUGACUGAAUUAAUUAAUUUGGUUUUAAAGCUUUACUCUGGUCAUCGUGGACACUCCCAGACUCUCUACAGGAAGGAAGUACUCCCAUUUUGCAGAUGAGGAAACUGAGGUCCAGAGAAGUUAAUUAGCAAAAACCAGCCCAAUAGCUGGCUGGUGGCAGCACUGGGGUUGGAACUCAGGCUCCUAGAUACUAUAAUGUCUGAUGAGAAGUGUUCACUUGCUGAGCCACAGUCCCUAGAAGGCACAUAAACAUGUCACCUGGCAAGGCAGGCUCUGGCCACCUGCUGACUGCUUGCCAAACAAGAGUCAGGAGUGGUGGCAUUUUAACUCAACUAUGGACACAAUUUACAAUCCAUUUCAUUUAAAGGAGACUGAGUUAAUUUAGAAUCAGAGCAGUCUGCAUAAAGAAAAAAACGCAUCCUGAUCUGGAGUGAGGACAAACCAACCCUGAGCUGAACCUGUGACGGUCUUCCUGACGGCCAUCCUGGGAGGGGAAGAGCCAAAGUCCUGGACUUUGCCCGACCCUGGACUUGGGCACCUUGCUGUGGGACGCUGGGCAGGCCUUCUGGACAGUCUCUCCUCUGGUCCCAGCCCCACCCCGGCCCUGCCUCCUUCUGGCUGAUGACAUGGCUGCAGAUACAGACUCUCAAGGGGCUGGCGUGUCCCUGCCAAGGCAGGAGCAGCAGGGCUGAGCCAGACCAGGUGACUGCACCCCUCCACCUCCAGGCCCAGCACCCUGUCUGGGAUCCAUGGUCCCCUCUGGCUGGACUCAUCCUUUCCUCCAUCACUGGACUGAGGCAGCCCUGCCCUCGUGUAGCAUCUGAAGGGCUGGACAUGUGACCGUGAGACAUGCAGAUGAGCAAGUGCCAAGAGGUCAGGUGCCACGCGGGGGCAGGGUCAGGCAGGGACUGGGGUGACAGCAUUCCUGAUGACCCCCCGAGGACAGAGGACAAAGAGGAGGGGUCCAGGUCGGGUGGGAGGUAGGUGGGGCGGGCACGGACUAGUUCUAAGUUCCCAGGGUGGGUGAGAGGUGGAAAGGAGGUCGUGGUUUUAACAAGGAAAAGACAUUGUUAUCAAACAGUGGGAAAGAAGGAAAUGUCUGUCCUUGUUUCAAAAUUCCAAGCUGUUGCAAAAAUAUGUAUGAAAAACACAAGUCUUCCUGGUUUAGGCUUAGGAAAUACCUCAGCAGACCCUCCUCUGCCCACAACAACAUCCAGAGUUACGGGGGUGGGGGUGGGAGUGGUGCAGAUGAAAAUCUUUUCUCGGGUGAUAAACAAGGUUAGCAAAGUUUCAGGAGAACAGAGCUGGCUACUUUAGCCCCUGGCUCUGCGGCACAGAGAAUCUGAGGCACUGCCGGUUGGCCAGGGGAUAGCAAGGGGGUCCCCAAGGCAGGUGGGCCUGUUGAGUGCAUUCUAGGGGCCUAGAGCCCCCACUUUCCCCUCGAGGCAAAUGACCAGGAAGUGGGACCUCACGUCUGCAGGAAGCCUGAGCUUUUCCUCCCCAGCCCCCUGACCUUCAGAAUCCCAUUGGACACUCAUAAGCCCUCCAGGAGACCCAUGGGGAGGGAGACUUAACUGCCAGGCUGAAAGGCACUGGGGGUACUGUGCAGGCCACAGCUCUGAAUGGGCACAGAUGGGAGGAAAGGCCCAAAGCCAGGGCUGGGUGCCAUGAAGGGCAGAGCUGGGCCUCCAGCCAUGUCCCCAGCACAAAUCUGCCCUCUUGGCUCCAGCCUGUGUGCUGGUCCCCACUCUUGACCAGGGAUGAGGUGCAGGUGAGGCCACCUCCCAGAUACAUGGAGGGACAGAUGCCACAGUGCCUGGCAAGGUCACAGAGGCCCACCACAAGCCUCCCACUGGGGAGCCAUUUCUGAUAGCACUGACGUGGUGGGGGGCGGAGAGGGGGACCCAGGAUGGAUGUCAGGCCCCUGACCACCCCUCCCGGCAGGUGACCAGAAAGGACAUGGCUACUGGGGGUUCUGGCAGCCCUGCCUAGGGUUGGGGCCGAAGGAGGCUGAAGCAGCAAUGUCCUCCCAGCUGAGGCCAGGCUUGGGGUUACUCUGCACCCACUCAAGCACAGGCCUCUCCCGAGGUGCCCUCUCUGAUGAGUGAAGGUCUGACUGAUGGCUUUCCAGGAGCUUGCCUUUGGUCCCCAAACCCACCAUGGCUAGGGUCAGCCCCAGACCUGGACUCUUGACUUGGCACUGGUGCUCUGGCUGGGGCCUUCCUGAGGCACUGGGGAGCCCCCCUCCGCCCUUCCACUCUACUGGGCUCAUGCCAGCUGCUUGGGAGGUGACCCUGCCUGGCUGCUGGGGCCUCAAAGGGCUGCUGCUGACGUUUCACGCCCACCUAUCUGGUGCUGUCUGGCUUCUGACAUCAGCAAGGAGACUCCACCUCUGCCGGAACACACAGGCUCCCAGCUCAGGGUGAAGGGAGCGUGACCAAGCCCUCUGGUCCCCUGGGUGGUCCGUGCACUCGCUGACUCAGCCUGAGACCUGCCUCCAGAGCUUUCACCUCCUCGUCAUCAGCUUGAGUGUCGGCCAGGACCUCACUGGUACACUCUUCCUGCUUCCAGGCCUUUGCUAGUCCCCCAUGUCCCCAUAGCCUGUACCACAGAGGGCCCAAGGAAGAUGACGCACGGGAGACCCAUAAACACAGCUGGGGACAGUGUCAGGCCUGCUGGGGCACGCAGCACACAGCCUGCCCCUCCCCCGCCAUCUGCCAGCCAACAUCAGCCUCUGGGUCUUGGCGCCAGGGACACAUCCAACCGCAGCCAAGACCCAGCACAGGAGGCCCACGCGGCAUGGCAUAGCUCAGCAGACGCUGUCCCUGCCAGGUUGCUAACAGUUCAGGGCCUAGCAUGCUCGGGGGGCUUGAAACCUAUGUCUGAUGGCUCCACGGCGACGGCCCUUCUGGGGACUCAGCAGUGACACAGGAGCACACACGAUGAGCAAAAUCUCCACAUCAAAGCUCGAUGUUACAACCUGACACCAGGUUUGGAAAACGCAUAAACCAGGCACGGAGGAGACACAACACAUACCAAAUGUGGGGACGGGGGUGGGGGUGGGGGGGCUUGUGUGUGUGGGGGGGUGCUGUUCCCAGGCCUGGUGCUCUGGGCAACUUUUUCUUCUGCUUUCAAUUUUUUUUGGUAUUUUUCCAAUUUUACAUAACCAAGCAUGCAUUAUAAAACAAACAGAUGAAAAGAUUAAGGGGCUUUUUUAUGUACCUAAGCCAACCUGAUCUUCUCACUACAGGUACAGAGUUGGGGGCAUGGGAGGCCUGGACCCCCCAAUGGCUGUGCAAAUUUCUCCACAACCAGGAGACCAACUACCUGCCUGUAUGGAGUCAAGAGGCCAGAGCUGGUCUGGGGACCCUGGGCCCUUCCUCAGGGCACAACCUGCUGACCCCACAGCUGGUGGGUGGCUCUACUCCCCACAGCACCCCUUGUCCCAGGAUCUCAGGGGAAUCCUCCUGGUCCCCUUCCUCAUGGCCCCACCCUUAGAAUAGAGAGGAGGCGGCUCUGCGCAUACAGUUGCCCACAUGAGCAAGAAGUGGGCCAGUGAAGCACGGCCUCACGUGCUCUCUAGACAGAAACUGUUUUUUCUAGAGGGGGGAAUUCAGAGCCUAAAUAGCACACUCCAGACAGAAGCCAUCUGAUGUCCAAAUUAACUGCAGUGUCCCUCUUUUUCUUCAGUGGUCCCUGCUCUCCCAGAGGGACAACUGCCUGAUGCACUGGGAAGGCAGUCAUCUCAGCUGUGACCCUUGAUCUUGGGGGCUGGAGAAACGGAUGUUUCCAGAACAAGCACCCCCAACCCCCACCACUUCAGGGGCCCCUCCAUCGAGUGCUUCUGUGGUUGGGGUGGGGGCGGGAGCCGGCACUCACUUGGUUUAUUCCUACAACCUCUGGGGCAGAUGCCCUCUGCAGACAGGCCAACUGAGGUUCAGAAGACCCUGGGCCAAAGUCUCCUAGUUAUCAGGGGGUCCACACCUGGUACGUGUGUCUGCCUCUGACUGACCCCAGAUGCAGGGUCUCCUGGAGGAGUUGGGGCAGGACACACCAGGAACGGGUCUCCCUACCUGCCAUGAGCUCAGCCAUGUGGCAGCUGUGUGGCCCUGACAGGUAACCUGAGGAAAUGCAUCUGUGUCCUCACAUGAGGGAGGCUGUCCCAGGGACCCCCAGACCAGCCAUGUGGGAAGGAGAUGAGGGUCAUGGUGGGGGCAGGGUGGCGGAAGGGAGAGAAGCCAUCAGUCAGUCAGAAAAAUCAUGGAGUUCCCAUUGUGGCCCAGCAGAAACGAAUUUAUCCAUAAGGAUUCAGAUUUGAUCCCUAGCCUCAUCAGCGGGUUAAGGGUCUGGCGUUGCCAUGAGCUGUGAUGUGGGUUGCAGAUGUGACUCAGAUCCCACAUUGCUGUGGUUGUGGUGUAGGCCAGCAGUUGCAGCUCCGAUUUGACCUCUAGCCUGGGAACUUCCAUAUGCCACAAGUUCAACCCUAAAAAGAAAGAAAAAAAAAAAAAUCACAAGGAGCCCCAUAAACUUAAAAAAAAAAAAAAACCCAAAAAACAAAAAACUAAGCAGUAGUUAAAAACCUUUCUAUAAGUUUUCAAGUACUGGGGAAUGUCUGCAUCCCAAUUUCACAUAGUUCCACCAAAAAGCAACAAAACAAAAACAGGUACACAUGCACACAGGUACAUAUAUACACACAGAGAACAAGACACGUACAUGCAAGGGCACGUAUGCCAAAAUGACAGAUGUUAACAAUCAGUGUGUCUAGGUGAAAGGUCUAGGGUUUUACUGCUAUUCCAACUACUGUGUAGGUCUGACAUUUUUCAAAAUAAAAAGUGGAGGGACAUUUCCUACAAAGAAAAUUUCUACCAAAUUUUGAAAGAACAGAUUAUCCAACUUUAUGAAAACUCUUCUAGAUAAUAGUAAAGAAAUGCAUACCACCCUCCCAACGCCCAACUCAUCCUCUGAGGCCAACACAACCCCGAUACCAAAAUCAGACAAACACACGAGAAGAACGGAAAAUUAUGGCUCUUUUCAUUCUCAAUAUAGAUGUACAAAACCGCAGACAAAAAUAAGACAAAAUCUUAUGAAAUCAAAUCCAGUAGAGCAUACAAAAGCUAUGAUGCUAUGACCAAGUUAGGUAAUCCAGGUAGGCAAGGAUGGCUUAAUAAGAGAAAAUCCAUUUCUACGACUCAUCACAUCAACAGAUUACAGAUGUCAACAGGUGUACAAGAAGAACACGCUAAAAUUAGGUAAUUAUGCAUGAUUAGAAUAGAAUUCCCUUAAGCUGCUAAACUAUCCUAAAGAACCUAGAACCAACAGGGUCUUUGUAGGGAAGAGUCACAUACUUUCCUCUGAGACAACGAAUGGGGGCAAAGGUACCCCCUCUCCUGGUUGUGACCCUUUGCUCUUAUGAUAAGAUGGCAAGGAGGCCGUCUGCCUACCUGUCUCUGGUGAGCACCUGUGUACAGACAUGGGGCUGGG